CCUACGGGCGGCAGCAGUGAGGAAUAUUGGUCAAUGGACGCAAGUCUGAACCAGCCAUGCCGCGUGCAGGAAGACGGCCCUAUGAGUUGUAAACUUCUUUUGUACGAGGGUAAACGCAGAUACGUGUAUCUGUCUGAAAGUAUCUUACGAAUAAGGAUCGGCUAACUCCGUGCCAGCAGCCGCGGUAAUACGGAGGAUUCAAGCGUUAUCCGGAUUUAUUGGGUUGAAAGGGUGCGUAGGCGGUUGGUUAAGUUAGGGGUGAAAGGCCGAGGCUCAACUUCGGAAUUGCCUCUGAUACUGGUAGGCUAGAGAGUAGUUGAGGUAGGCGGAAUGCAUGGUGUAGCGGUGAAAUGCUUAGAGAUCAUACAGAACACCGAUUGCGAAGGCAGCUUACCAAGCUACUUCUGACGUUGAGGCACGAAAGCGUGGGGAGCAAACAGGAUUAGAUACCCCAGUAGUC
RNAcentral lists this ribosomal RNA (460 nucleotides) under uncultured bacterium. RNAcentral describes it as "partial 16S ribosomal RNA". It matches the Rfam family "Bacterial small subunit ribosomal RNA", at positions 338 to 795 of the family's 1533-position model. The record is from RNAcentral.